This 325-nucleotide ribosomal RNA is filed under the name uncultured Paulinella. Its description in RNAcentral is "SSU rRNA". The stretch from base 106 to 325 matches the Rfam family "Eukaryotic small subunit ribosomal RNA", at positions 734 to 955 of the family's 1831-position model. Lineage: Eukaryota; Cercozoa; Imbricatea; Euglyphida. The record is from RNAcentral.
GAUUUCUGGUCGACGGCGCAUGAUCGGGUGUCCUCUGGGCACUCUGUAUCGUCGUCUGUUUGCCAUCCUUCCAGAGAGCUGCGCCUACCAUCUUGCAUGGCAGGGCGCUGUGAUCUGGAUCGUUUACUUUGAAAAAAUUAGAGUGUUCCAAGCAAGCUUACGCUUUGAAUACAUUAGCAUGGAAUAAUAAUUUAGGACUUUGUUUCUAUUUUGUUGGUUUCUAGGAAUGAAGUAAUGAUUGAUAGGGACAGUUGGGGGUGCUAGUAUUCAUCGGCCAGAGGUGAAAUUCUUGGAUUCGAUGAAGACUAACUUAUGCGAAAGCAUU